RNAcentral lists this small RNA (126 nucleotides) under Marmota monax (woodchuck). The record is from RNAcentral. Lineage: Eukaryota; Metazoa; Chordata; Mammalia; Rodentia; Sciuridae.
GCUGGGCAUGGUAGCGCACACCUGUGAUCCCCAUGGCUAGGAGGCUGAGGCAGGAGGAUCCUGAGUUCAAAGCCAGCCUCAGCAACUUAGUGAGGCACUAAGCAACUCACUGAGACCCUGUCUCUA